CUCGAACAUCGAUGUUAUCACUAAGAGAUACACACGCAAAGCAAGUGUUUGAUACAGGUAAAACAUAUUAGGGCGGUUCCUCUCGGCACAAUGGACAGGUUUCUGCACAUAACAAACCACGUGUCUGCUGCUUAUUUGUUUCU
This is a non-coding RNA of Drosophila suzukii, 143 nucleotides long. Lineage: Eukaryota; Metazoa; Arthropoda; Insecta; Diptera; Drosophilidae. The record is from RefSeq and is a predicted model, not a curated record.